AACGUAGGUGGCAAGCGUUAUCCGGAUUCACUGGGCGUAAAGCGCAUGCAGGUGGCACAGUAAGUAGGGCAUGAAAACUCCUGGCUUAACUGGGAGAGGCUGUCCUAGACUGCUGAGCUUGAGGAUGGGAGAGGGAAGUGGAAUUGCCGGUGUAGUGGUGAAAUGCGUAGAUAUCGGGAGGAACACCAGUGGCGAAGGCGACUUCCUGGCCUGUUCUUGACGCUGAGGCGCGAAAGCUAGGGGAGCAAACGGG
RNAcentral lists this ribosomal RNA (253 nucleotides) under uncultured bacterium. RNAcentral describes it as "partial 16S ribosomal RNA". It matches the Rfam family "Bacterial small subunit ribosomal RNA", at positions 524 to 776 of the family's 1533-position model. The record is from RNAcentral.